AAACAAAUGUUUAUUGAAAUAACAAACUUACCAUCAAGUAUUUAACAAGGCAUAAAACAUUAGACAUUCAUUAAUUACAUCAUGUAUGCUACAUAAAACCUAUUUGUAUAGCUCAAUAACUUUUGAACUCCGAUGUUAUCUAGAUACUACAGAUACAGUUAAGUCGGCUUUAUAUCUUGACUUACAUCUAGAAAUUGACAAUGAGGGUCGGUUGAAAACAAAACUUUACGACAAAAGAGAUGAUUUCAGCUUUCCAAUUGUGAACUUUCCAUUUCUUUUGAUGUUAUCUAAUUAUUUGUAAAUAAAGACAUUAGGUUUAUGUUUAUUCAGUGGUCAACACAAACUGCAAGAGAGAGUCGUUAUCAUAUAGCAAAAAAUCAUGAUUGCUUACCGAAUAUCUGAAGGCAGUACAAACAGACGUAUUGUUUACAUUUUUCAUGAUUUUUGUAUUAGUCAACGCUAGUAAACCAAUGUAUUGUGCAUACUGUUCAGAAUAUAUAAGACAACUACAAUCUGUGUCAUGUGACCGUGACGUAAACAACGUUUCAUCCUGAUUUACUCGGGUUUAUAAUUGAAUUAAAAAUUAAAUCAUAAGAAAUGACUGUAAUAUUUUUUCUGCCUUUUUCGAAAUAAUAUAAAAAAUGUGGUGCACACUGUAAAAUAACCCGCUAAUGCGUUACAUUCAUUCCUUAAACAUGUUAAAGAAUCAAACAAAACUAUUGAAACUCUUUCAUAUGUUUUUUUUUUCUUUCUGUCAGGACUGACGCGUGUUGUCUACAUUUAUGAACACAAAUCUCUUGUAACAUUUGUAACUACAUCCUCUUAUUUGAUAUCUAAAUUUCCAAGACUUUGAAAUGCAAGAAACACAAAUUAAGAUUUAAAGGAUGCAAUUAUCAG
RNAcentral lists this long non-coding RNA (897 nucleotides) under Mytilus galloprovincialis (Mediterranean mussel). The record is from RNAcentral. Lineage: Eukaryota; Metazoa; Mollusca; Bivalvia; Mytilida; Mytilidae.